Molecule: ribosomal RNA, 920 nt
Filed under: Canalisporium pulchrum
Lineage: Eukaryota; Fungi; Ascomycota; Sordariomycetes
Description: eukaryotic LSU rRNA
Rfam family: Eukaryotic large subunit ribosomal RNA
Source: RNAcentral
UAGCAUAUCAAUAAGCGGAGGAAAAGAAACCAACAGGGAUUGCCCCAGUAGCGGCGAGCGAAGCGGCAACAGCCCAGAUUUGAAAUCCGGUGCUCUUUGGGCGCCUGAGUUGUAAUCUGCAGAUGGGUUUUCCGGUGAGGUGCACGUCCAAGUUCCCUGGAAUGGGACGCCGUAGAGGGUGAGAGCCCCGUACUGGCGCUGCGCCGAGCCUCUGUGAGGCCCAUUCGACGAGUCGAGUAGUUUGGGAAUGCUGCUCUAAUUGCGAGGUAAAUCUCUCGUAAGGCUAAAUACCGGCCAGAGACCGAUAGCGCACAAGUAGCGUGAGCGAAAGAUGAAAAGAGCCUUGGAUAAGGGCGUCAAAAAGCAUGUGAAAUCGUUAUGGGGGAAGCGCUCGUCGCCAGACGUGGCGGCGGCCGGUUAGUCGGCGUCCUCGCCGGCGCACUCGGACCGUCGCCAGGCCAGCAACAGCUCGGACUGGGGCCUACUGCCGGAGGGAACGUAGCUCCUCUCGGGGAGUGUUAUAGCCCUUCGGCGACGCCCUGGGCCGGGCUGAGGACCGCGCCUUGUGCACGGAUGCUGGCGUAAUGGCGCCUAGCGACCCGUCUUGAAACACGGACCAAGGAGUUGACCUAGCGCGCGAGUGUACGGGUGUCAAGCCCCUGCGCGCAGUGAAAGCAAACGCUGGUGGGAGCCCUUUGGGCGCACCAUCGACCGAUCCUGAUGCUCCGCGGAUGGAUUUGAGUAGGAGCGUGCUGGGUCUGACCCGAAAGAAGGUGAACUAUGCAUGGGUAGGGUGAAGCCAGAGGAAACUCUGGUGGAGGCUCGCAGCGGGUUCUGACGUGCAAAUCGAUCGUCAAACCUGUGCAUGGGGGCGAAAGACCAAUCGAACCUUCUAGUAGCUGGUUCCUGCCGAAGUUCUC